Molecule: long non-coding RNA, 471 nt
Organism: Ooceraea biroi (clonal raider ant)
Lineage: Eukaryota; Metazoa; Arthropoda; Insecta; Hymenoptera; Formicidae
Source: RefSeq, a predicted model, not a curated record
UAGCUGAGGCAGGAAAUUCUUACGAGAGCUUCAAUUCGUGUGUUUGGCGUUUGGCUCCGAAAUAUUUAUAUUGUGGCAUCCGAACAGUGGAAAUAGCCGCAUAUAUUGCUGCAGGAUUAUUCAACGAAGGCUAUUUCGCCGUUUUAAAAAUUAUGGACACAUUAGAACUAAAAAUCGGUACCCAUUGUAAGGAGUAUGCAGACUCGUAUGACGCCGCGCGAAUACGGCAACAGGAGUGACGAAGCCUCAGUAGCUCGAAAGAAGCUCGAACUGCUCGCAAAGAACUGAAUUUACAACAGCAGCAAUUAUACGAGGAUGCAGAAGGCCUACUAUAUGGCCCUGGAAUCGCCGAUUAGGACUACCAUUACAGCGGAUGCUAGACUGCACACCGUUUGACGCCUGCGACGCCGAAGCCGCUGAAGGCGGCGUCCAUACCUAUAUCUAUAUAUAUGUUUUUUUUAACCAAAAAAA